ACGCCGGCCUCUCUCACUUUCCCUCACUGGCGACUUCCGUUCCCUCUCUCCGCUCUCACACCCGCACGGCAAGAGGCGAUAGACUGACAACCCACGACUUCGGUGACCGCCGCCCAUCGACAACAGGCCACGCGUCACGCAAUUUCCGAGUGGCGCUGCAUCAACGAUCCCCGGCCGCCAUCCUAUUCCGCGCUCUUCAGGCCGAACCCCUAUUCGAAGCCAAGAAUCUAGGCAAGGACACGAGGAAGGAAAUGAAGGUGAGGUCUGAUGAUGAAGAACCCGGGAGACUCGAACGAUAAGAUAAAUCAAGAAUUGACCUUCAUCGUGGCAAGUCCCAUCUCCUUGAUCAUGUUGAAUCAAUGUUUUUAAUAAUCUAAAUUGAUCAACUUAAAAUAUGACUUAUUAUCACAUGUGCUAUGUAUUGUGCUAUUUUCAA
Molecule: long non-coding RNA, 436 nt
Organism: Phragmites australis (common reed)
Lineage: Eukaryota; Viridiplantae; Streptophyta; Magnoliopsida; Poales; Poaceae
Exons: 2
Source: RefSeq, a predicted model, not a curated record